GUGGGAGGGGGCUUGCCCCCGAUUGCGGCCGGUCAGCAACACAUGUGUCAACUGAUACUCCCACAUCGGGGGCAAGCCCCCUCCCAC
RNAcentral lists this unclassified non-coding RNA (87 nucleotides) under Pseudomonas rhodesiae. The record is from RNAcentral. Lineage: Bacteria; Pseudomonadati; Pseudomonadota; Gammaproteobacteria; Pseudomonadales; Pseudomonadaceae.